UCAGGUGGCUGGAUGGCCGCGUCUCAUUUCGGUGGGUCGAGGAAAGUCCGGGCUCCACGGAAACACGGUGCCGGGUAAUGCCCGGCGGGGGUGACCCCAGGGAAAGUGCCACAGAAAGCAAACCGCCCGCAUUGUUCGUCUUCGAACGGGUUUUGCGUGGUAAGGGUGAAAGGGUGCGGUAAGAGCGCACCGCGUUGCCGGUAACGGGAACGGCACGGUAAACCCCACCGGGAGCAAGACCAAAUAGGGGUGGUGGACUGGUUCGCCGGUCAAGCCUGUUUUCGGGCUGCCGCCCGGGUGUGUCGCACGAGGUGUCUGGUAACAGGCAUCCCAGAUGAAUGGUCAUCGCCUGUAUUGCCGCGAGGCACGCAGGUACAGAACCCGGCUUACAGGCCAGCUGACGUC
This 405-nucleotide RNase P RNA is filed under the name Alphaproteobacteria bacterium. RNAcentral's name for it is "RNase P RNA component class A". It matches the Rfam family "Bacterial RNase P class A". From Rfam's summary of the family: Ribonuclease P (RNase P) is a ubiquitous endoribonuclease, found in archaea, bacteria and eukarya as well as chloroplasts and mitochondria. Lineage: Bacteria; Pseudomonadati; Pseudomonadota; Alphaproteobacteria. The record is from RNAcentral.